CCUAACACAGUGCAGUCGAGUGCGCGGUAGCAAUACUGGCGCACGGCGCACGGGUGCGUAACACGUGGGCAACCUACCCUACAGAGGGGGAUACCCCCGCGAAAGCGGGACUAAUACCGCAUGAUAUUCCGGUGGCUUCGGCUGCUGGACUCAAAGUCCGCAAGGACGCUGUAAGAGGGGCCCGCGCCCGAUUAGCUAGUUGGUGAGGUAACGGCUCACCAAGGCAAUGAUCGGUAGCCGGUCUGAGAGGAUGGCCGGCCACACUGGAACUGAGACACGGUCCAGACUCCUACGGGAGGCAGCAGUGGGGAAUCUUGCGCAAUGGACGAAGGUCUGACGCAGCGACGCCGCGUGGGGGACGAAGCCCUUCGGGGUGUAAACCCCUUUCGACCCGGACGAAGCCCGCAAGGGCGGACGGUACGGGAUGAAGAAGCCCCGGCUAACUACGUG
Molecule: ribosomal RNA, 450 nt
Filed under: uncultured bacterium
Lineage: Bacteria
Description: bacterial SSU rRNA
Rfam family: Bacterial small subunit ribosomal RNA
Source: RNAcentral